CCAAUAGUCGCCUAACAGGUUAAGGCAUGGCGCGUACAGCCAUAUUAAGGUUCGAGUCCUUACUAUUGGU
This 70-nucleotide transfer RNA is filed under the name uncultured Clostridium sp. Its description in RNAcentral is "tRNA-Tyr(gta)". The record is from RNAcentral. Lineage: Bacteria; Bacillati; Bacillota; Clostridia; Eubacteriales; Clostridiaceae.